Molecule: ribosomal RNA, 328 nt
Filed under: uncultured Chloroflexota bacterium
Lineage: Bacteria; Bacillati; Chloroflexota
Description: bacterial SSU rRNA
Rfam family: Bacterial small subunit ribosomal RNA
Source: RNAcentral
GAUGAACGCUGGCGGCGUGCCUAAUACAUGCAAGUCGAACGAAGGUUUUGUAUUCGUACAGAAUCUUAGUGGCGAACGGGUGAGUAACGCGUUGGUGACCUGCCCCGAAGUGGGGGAUAACAGCUCGAAAGGGCUGCUAAUACCCCAUGUGAUCCUCUGGACUAGAUGCCAGAUGCUUAAAGGGAUUUAUCUCGCUUCGGGAGGGGCCUGCGUCCCAUCAGCUAGUUGGUAGGGUAAUGGCCUACCAAGGCGAUGACGGGUAGGGGGCCUGAGAGGGUGACCCCCCACACUGACACUGAAACACGGGUCAGACACCUAUGGGUGGCAG